GAGCCGGUACAGGACAGGUCGUCUGAUGGCUCUCAGUCGUCGUGGAUACACUGCCGGACCAGGGGAUCGGUCUGAUGACGACUCCUUCCCUCCUCAAUUUUCUCUCCACAAUCUUAACCAUCCGAGCUCCGUAGAAACUGUCGCCACAGAUCCCUGGAUGCGGCCAGGAACAUCGGACACACUGAAAUGUUCGGACCGUCCAUCGAGGAGGGAGUGGUUGGCAACAUAGGACCGACCCUGUUGCUCAAACCUGAGAGGUUCCUCGUACUUUUGGAAGUCAGUUGUACCACAGACUUCCCUGUCUUUGAAUUAUGAGACUAGGACGGGUUUUAACUCGUGGCUUUUGUGACAAAUGGAUGCCAGUAUGAAUGACAAAUGAUACCUGUUAUGUACUUUUAUUUGACCAAUGACUAAAUUAUGUUUUAAAUAAAUGUAUAAUUAUAAACUGUAGGGUGAUACUUUGCAUCCUUUGACAAGCCAUCACAGCCUCAACUCUACAAAAGUUUAACGUGAUGUUUUCCAACACAUUACUUUUAUAAUAUUUAAGAUCAUACAUAGUUUGAUGAUCUCUGCGAUAUCUUUCUGGUCAGCAGCCAAAUUAGCUUAGCUUAGCUUAGACUGGAAAUUGGGGAGGGACUGUUAGCCUGUCUCUUUCAAAGGUAACAAAAUCAGCCUACCAGCACCUCUAAAGCCGACUAAUUUACAUGUCAUCACUGUUUUACAUGUUUAUGUCACUUUUGUUUUAGUCCAUACACAAAUGUCAGGCUGUGGUUGGUGACUAUGUGCUGGACUGUUUCUUCGCUAGACACAGUGACUUCCUGUCAAGAUAUAGUAAAUUGUAUAUUUUCCAAAAUGUCCAACUAUUCCUCUAACUCAUUAAUGACUAAAAAUUAUAUUUAGUAUGUUGAGGAGAAGCCCCAUUGAUUUGAUUUUAAUUAAUGAAUUUUCCUUAAGAGGUGGAGACACAGAAUUUGCUGUGGAAACUGUCGACAUUUUGCUACAUGGCAAAAUCAACAUUUUCGACAACACACAUUUAUCAUGCCUUAAUUGGUAGACAAAUUAGAUUUUCUCUCGGGUAGGUUCUCUGAAUUUUCUCGAAUUCAGCGGCGAAGGGUGCUUUGGCAAAGUUGCUAAAGGUGUGAAUUUAAUCACAGCACAGGACGUGGCCCUCAAGAUCUUGAAAACCGAAGAAACCGCUAAAAGAGAGAUCAAAAUGCUUGAAGCAGU
Molecule: long non-coding RNA, 1227 nt
Organism: Xiphias gladius (swordfish)
Lineage: Eukaryota; Metazoa; Chordata; Actinopteri; Istiophoriformes; Xiphiidae
Exons: 3
Source: RefSeq, a predicted model, not a curated record